This 614-nucleotide ribosomal RNA is filed under the name uncultured bacterium. RNAcentral describes it as "bacterial SSU rRNA". It matches the Rfam family "Bacterial small subunit ribosomal RNA", at positions 338 to 950 of the family's 1533-position model. The record is from RNAcentral.
CCUACGGGAGGCAGCAGUAAGGAAUAUUGGUCAAUGGACGCAAGUCUGAACCAGCCAUGCCGCGUGAAGGAUGAAUGCCCUCUGGGUUGUAAACUUCUUUUAUAGGGGACGAAAAAGGGUCUUUUCAGAUCAACUGACGGUACCCUAGGAAUAAGCACCGGCUAACUCCGUGCCAGCAGCCGCGGUAAUACGGAGGGUGCAAGCGUUAUCCGGAUUUACUGGGUUUAAAGGGUGCGUAGGUGGGUUGGUAAGUCAGCGGUGAAAUCUUCGAGCUUAACUCGGAAACUGCCAUUGAUACUAUCAGCCUUGAAUAUCCUGGAGGUGAGCGGAAUAUGUCAUGUAGCGGUGAAAUGCUUAGAUAUGACAUAGAACACCAAUUGCGAAGGCAGCUCACUACGGGAUUAUUGACACUGAGGCACGAAAGCGUGGGGAUCAAACAGGAUUAGAUACCCUGGUAGUCCACGCCCUAAACGAUGGAUACUCGACAUUUGCGAUAUACAGUAAGUGUCUGAGCGAAAGCAUUAAGUAUCCCACCUGGGAAGUACGAUCGCAAGAUUGAAACUUAAAGAAGUAGUAGCGUGAGAGUAGCGACGACGACACACGGGGAGGUUAGG